GGUAAGUUGGCUCAGUGGUAGAGUGCUUGCCUCGCAUGCAUGAGGCCCUGGGUUCAAUUCCUCAGCACCA
This 70-nucleotide transfer RNA is filed under the name Dipodomys ordii (Ord's kangaroo rat). It matches the Rfam family "tRNA". Rfam says of the family: Transfer RNA (tRNA) molecules are approximately 80 nucleotides in length. Their secondary structure includes four short double-helical elements and three loops (D, anti-codon, and T loops). Lineage: Eukaryota; Metazoa; Chordata; Mammalia; Rodentia; Heteromyidae. The record is from Rfam by way of RNAcentral.